Molecule: ribosomal RNA, 506 nt
Filed under: uncultured bacterium
Lineage: Bacteria
Description: partial 16S ribosomal RNA
Source: RNAcentral
AACUAAGCUACCGUAGAGUUUGAUCCUGGCUCAGGUAAGUCGUAACAAGGUAGCCGUAAAGUUUGAUCAUGGCUCAGGAUAAGUUGUAACAAGGUAGCCGUACGUCGUAACAAGGUAGCCGUACGUCGUAACAAGGUAGCCGUAAGUGGUAACAGGGUAAGCGUAGAGUUUGAUCAUGGCUCAGAUAAGUGGUAACAAGGUAGCCGUAAGUCGUAACAAGGAACCGUAGAGUUUGAUCCUGGCUCAGGAAAGUCGUAACAAGGUAACCGUAAGUCGUAACAAGGUAACGGUAGAGUUGGAUCCUGGCUCAGGAAAGUGGUAACAAGGUAACCGUAAGUCGUAACAAGGAACCGUAAAGUUUGAUCAUGGCUCAGGAAAGUGGUAACAAGGUAGCCGUAAGUCGUAACAAGGUAACCGUAGAGUUUGAUCCUGGGUCAGCCUUGGACUUAAAAAAUGGAGAAGUAGUAACAAGGUAUCCGUAAGUCGUGACCCAGGAUCAAACUCUA